Molecule: transfer RNA, 70 nt
Filed under: Brucella intermedia
Lineage: Bacteria; Pseudomonadati; Pseudomonadota; Alphaproteobacteria; Hyphomicrobiales; Brucellaceae
Description: tRNA-Ser
Source: RNAcentral
GGGAAUGCUUCUUGGUGAACCCUCGUUCGGGACGAGGGGGUCGGAGGUUCGAAUCCUCUCACUCCGACCA